RNAcentral lists this precursor RNA (482 nucleotides) under Danio rerio (zebrafish). RNAcentral describes it as "partial precursor microRNA 196c". The stretch from base 145 to 219 matches the Rfam family "mir-196 microRNA precursor family". The record is from RNAcentral. Lineage: Eukaryota; Metazoa; Chordata; Actinopteri; Cypriniformes; Danionidae.
AUUGCUUUAGAUUAUGCGCGGGUAUUUUCCGUGUGUUUGCAUAUAACAGUUGAUUUGAUAUUGUAUGAGAAUUAAAUAUGUCCAAUACCCUUAACCGAACUGAUAAUAAAGGAAGGUCUUGAAGUGGAUAGCCCGUCCAGCUGAUGCGUGGUUUAGGUAGUUUGAUGUUGUUGGGGUUGACUUCCUGGCUCGACAACAAGAAACUGCCUUGAUUACGUCAGUUUGCCUUCAUCAAGGCCGUUCAUUUCCGCCAAAUUACCCUUGCAGACUGCGCAAAUGGCAUUGUAAAUGAACCACCGCCGGCGGCUCUACAAUACACAGUAUCCUUCUAUCCUUUCAACAUCUUCGUCGGGUUUAUAUGGUGGCCAGUAAAAAGAAAACUCUAUAGCUUCCAGUGGGUGAAUUGGGGUUAUAAACCCAGAGGUUGUAAGAAACAAUCUCUCCGCUUUGUUGGUAAGACAGACACGCCUUGACAUAGCUUG